UACUCAGUUCGGAUUGAAGGCUGAAAUUCGCCUUCAUGAAGCUGGAAUUGCUAGUAAUGGCAGGUCAGCAUACUGCCGUGAAUACGUUCCCGGGCCUUGUACACACCGCCCGUCACACCAUGAGAGUUUGUAACACCCAAAGCCGGUGGGGUAACCUUUUGGAGCCAGCCGUCUAAGGUGGGACAGAUGAUUGGGGUGAAGUCGUAACAAGGUACC
This 216-nucleotide ribosomal RNA is filed under the name uncultured bacterium. Its description in RNAcentral is "partial 16S ribosomal RNA". It matches the Rfam family "Bacterial small subunit ribosomal RNA", at positions 1285 to 1500 of the family's 1533-position model. The record is from RNAcentral.